AACAGGGAUUGCCUCAGUAGCGGCGAGUGAAGCGGCAAAAGCUCAAAUUUGAAAUCUGGCGUCUUUGGCGUCCGAGUUGUAAUUUGAAGAAGGUAUCUUUGGGCCCGGCUCUUGUCUAUGUUCCUUGGAACAGGACGUCACAGAGGGUGAGAAUCCCGUGCGAUGAGAUGACCCGGGUCUGUGUAAAGUUCCUUCGACGAGUCGAGUUGUUUGGGAAUGCAGCUCUAAGUGGGUGGUAAAUUCCAUCUAAAGCUAAAUAUUGGCGAGAGACCGAUAGCGAACAAGUACAGUGAUGGAAAGAUGAAAAGAACUUUGAAAAGAGAGUGAAAAAGUACGUGAAAUUGUUGAAAGGGAAGGGCUUGAGAUCAGACUUGGUAUUUUGCAUGCUGCUCUCUCGGGGGCGGCCGCUGCGGUUUACCGGGCCAGCAUCGGUUUGGAGCGGCAGGAUAAUGGCGGAGGAAUGUGGCACGGCUUCUUCUUUUUUAUAGCCUCUGACGAUACUGCCAGCCUAGACCGAGGACUGCGGUUUUCCUAGGAUGUUGGCAUAAUGAUCUUAAGUCGC
Molecule: ribosomal RNA, 562 nt
Filed under: Candida albicans
Lineage: Eukaryota; Fungi; Ascomycota; Pichiomycetes; Serinales; Debaryomycetaceae
Description: eukaryotic LSU rRNA
Rfam family: Eukaryotic large subunit ribosomal RNA
Source: RNAcentral